This is a non-coding RNA of Seriola aureovittata, 741 nucleotides long. The record is from the annotation of a RefSeq genome assembly. Lineage: Eukaryota; Metazoa; Chordata; Actinopteri; Carangiformes; Carangidae.
AUGGAACUAAUUGUGUCUACAACAGCUGGUAACGAUGAUCAUGACUUUGGAAAGUCCAGUAAAGAGAAAUUCUCAGCCACUAAACCUGAUGCUGAGAGCGGGACAUUGAUAGUGAAGAAUCUGGAGCCUGGAGAUCAAGGCGCUGGGUCAACAGGACCUGAAAGGAAAGCUGAUAGUGGAGUCUCACACCUUAACUUCUUUAACAUGAUCUUCAUGGGCUUUGUAUUUUGUGUUCUUCAGUUACUUGGAGAUAAAGCAGCAGCCUCUGACACCAAACGUGUCGACCAAACACCUCCGUUCAUCAUAAAGAGAACUGGUCAGUCUGUUGACAGUGAGAUCAACUGUGCACACAGCAUAACAAAUUAUGAUCGGAUUCUCUGGUACAAACAAGACAAACACAAGUUAAAGUUCCUGGGAUAUCUAAAUGUGGAUAACCCAUACCCUGAGGACGACAUGAAGGGGAAAAUCAGCUUUAAAGGAGACGGCCGCAAACACUCAAACCUCACCAUUUCUAAUGUUUCACUGAAUGACAGUGGUGUGUAUUUCUGUGCUGCCAGUUACCACAGUGCUGCAGAUUCUCCUCAAGUCAAUACAAAAACCUUCCAGUUAAAACCCAACGCCAGACACACAAGACUUUCAGGCCCCUGAACACCUGCAGCCAGCCUCCAUCUAAACCAGGCCUUUGAAGAUUUUACCAGCUGUUUUUCACACAGGUCUGACCCCCUCUGAGGUCAUGGUGUA